Non-coding RNA from Phrynosoma platyrhinos (Desert horned lizard), 69 nucleotides. The record is from the annotation of a GenBank genome assembly. NCBI's taxonomy places the organism in Eukaryota, Metazoa, Chordata, Lepidosauria, Squamata, Phrynosomatidae.
GGCUCAUAGCUCAGUGGUAGGGCAUCUGUGUCAUAUGUAGAAGGUCCCAAGUUCAAUUCUUGACAUCCU